Molecule: long non-coding RNA, 24732 nt
Filed under: Brassica napus (rape)
Lineage: Eukaryota; Viridiplantae; Streptophyta; Magnoliopsida; Brassicales; Brassicaceae
Description: long non-coding RNA (BNAP_LNC019914)
Source: RNAcentral
AGUAUAAAUCAAAACUUUAGUGCAUUAAGAGCUUCAAAUUGGUUGUUCAUGGUGGUUAAUGUAUUGAUGACAAUGACAAUAAUGUAAAUAUUUGGUGAAGAUGAGGAUGAUAAGGUAAAAUACUCAUUUUCGAAAAAAAGAAAAAAAAAGUAUUUUCGUGAAUAACUCGAACUUAUAGUGUGAAUAGGAAAAAUGAAAGUUUCAAAAAAAAAAAAUGGGUUAUUUUUGUGUUUGACUUGAAAUUUUAGGUUAUAUUUGAAAAAAGCCCAAAAUAAAAUGUCAAAUUGUGAUGAUUAAUUUAAGAUAUUUUAACCGAUAAAUGAAUAAUAGGGAAAAAACUUUAAGCAAAUUUUGUAUUGGUAAAUAAAAAAUAUUUGUUUAUUAAUAUUCUAUUUUGUGUAUUGGAAAUCACUGGCUAUUUAUAAAUUGUGGUAAAACACUUAUAAAACUAUUGAUAUGUAUUUCUCAAAAUAAAUACUAUUGAUAUGUAUACAUUUCUUUAUACAGAACAAAUAUGUUGACAAAGUAAGUGACGUGAUUUGACAAAGUAAAUGACGUGAUUCAACUGGUUUUGUUUUUUUUCCUAGAACUAGCACGUCGGUAGAAUAAACCUUAAGUAAAAUAGACCCCCGUUAUUUUGUUUCCACUUCAACAUUUGUUUUAGUAAAGUUAUUAAUAUUACCUUAAAAACUCGACGACCGACAUGAGAAUACGCGUAACUUGUUUAGACGAUAGCGAUUAGUUUGCUUUCUGUGUUGUCCCCCAAAUAAGACAAAGAAUCUUGACUCUAAUUUUGUAGUAUAUCGUUGACACUCCUACAUUCUAUAAUAGAACCACUCAUAAACUAACACUACUGUAAUAUCGUAACAUAUGCUUUCAUAGUCAAUAAACCCCAAAAAAAUAAUCCAGUUAUUGGCAAAACCUUUACUCAAACUUUUAUCCACGAUUGUGCCAGAUGAUAAAGCAGUAGAACAUCAAAUUACAAUAUAUCAUGCAAAUACUUACCUUUGUUGUUGUUAAUUAUACCCUUUUUUUUUAACAAAAUUGCAGUGUUUUUAAAACCGGACCGGCUAGCGAACCAGAAUUUUUUUGGAUCAUAGAUCAUUGGGGUUCAACCGGAUUUGAUCGGGUUUACUUAGAUUAAACUAAAUUUAAUGAUAUUUUAUAAAUAAUAUGCAUAUUAGAAAAAUAUAUCAUAUCAAAUAAAAUGUUUAAACAGCGAUAAUGUGUAGAAAAAACAAAGAUAACAAUUAAAAUCUAAAAUCAAUAUGAAAAGCAAAUUUAAACUUUAUUCACAGAUCUUAUCACUCUAAAUCUUCAUCACCUUUAAAAAAAUUAUAUACACAUCAGGUAAAAUUUAUAUUUUGAAAUACAAAUUUCAGAAACGUAAAUAUUUAUUGACGUGAAUAUUAAACUUUGUGAAUCUUAUAAUUUAUGAGUUGUAGAGACGACAAAAGAAAAAGACGAGAGACGAUACUUUACUAAUCUUUGAUAAAUCUUAUUUUUACUUUAAAAAAAAAAGAAAAAUUAAUUGUUUCAUUAAAAAAAAAAUUGGCUUAUAUACGAACCAGAGUUUGGCCGGUUCAUUGGAUCGCCGGUUCCCGGGGUUUUGACGGUUCGAUAUGAGUUUUUAACUGGUUCAAUUUUAGUUGGGUUUUAACAUUAACCCAACCCUGAUUUUUUUCGGUUCAUGGUUCAACCCGGUCCGACCGCCGGUUCGGUCUGGGUUUAAAAACGCUGCAAAAUUGUUAAUUAUACUUAUAACUGAUAAAACCAUACAUAAACUAAUCACGUUAUUCCAAAGAUUAUUGAAUGUUUCUUUUGAUAUGGUCCCUCCCUAUCUCAAACAAAGACAAAUCUGUUACAGUAUAAGUAAUGCAUUAUGCAUAGCGGGUUUAAGACAUUCUUAGCUUUCUACACUCGCAAUGAAAAACUCAAUAGUGUUCUUGCUCUCUUCCUUCUUUCUUUUUCUUCUCCCAUUUGCAAGCUCGCUAAAUUUUAGCAUCCCUCGUUUUUCAGUAGGAGACUCUCGCAUAGCUUACCAAGGAGACGCAACACCAAAUGGCGAGAUCGUACUCAACAAUAUUGCAUUUACUUGUCGUGUUGGUUGGGCUACUUAUGCUAAAAGAGUUGCUAUUUGGGAUUCCGAAACAGGGGAGGCUUCCGACUUCACCACUAAUUUCUCCUUCAAGAUUGAUAUCAACACUGCAAAUUAUGGCCAUGGGCUCGCUUUUUUUCUUGGCCCUGCAGGCUUCACUGUCCCUCCAAAUUCAGAUAGUGGUUUCUUGGGCCUUUUCAAUGAAACCAACGGUCAUUCUUCUCGGUUCCCGCUUGUGCAUGUCGAGUUCGAUACGUUUUAUAACGUUGAAUGGGAUCCUUAUGGUAUCAAGUCUCAUGUCGGGAUCAAUAACAACUCGCUUGCUUCCUCUACUUUCACUUCCUGGAAUGCAACCCUUCACAGCCAAGAUACAUGUCAUGCACAAGUCUCGUAUGACGCUGCUCAGAAAAACUUGAGCGUCUCUUGGAGAUAUGAAGAAACAACUAUUCCUUCGGAGAGUUCAAGUAUUUACUACAUCACUGACCUUGUGAGGGUCAUUACUGCUGAAGUUACCAUGGGCUUUUCAGGUGCCACAGGAUCGGCGAUGGAAGGGCAUAGGAUCUUGUCAUGGGACUUUUAUUCCAGCUUGGACGUGAAAGAGAAGACAAAACCAAACCGUAGAAGUGUCAUUCUUGGUGCUUCUCUUUCGGGUUUUCUCCUCUUGGUCUCUUUGGUUGUUGUGGUUCCGUUGUGUUUGAAGAGGAAGCAAAGAAAGGCCAAAGCAGCAAGGAGGAGAGAAAACUUGACGUCGAUAAACGAAGAAGAUCUUGAAAGAGGAGCAGGGCCAAGAAGGUUCUCUUACAAAGAUCUUGCAAUGGCUACCAACAACUUCUUGUCUGAAAGAAAGUUAGGUCAAUGAGGUUUUGGAGCAGUGUAUAAAGGCUACUUAAACGACUUGGAUUUGAUGGUUGCCGUGAAGAAAUUUUCGGGUGCUUCAAAGCAAGGAAAGAAAGAGUUCAUCACCGAGGUUAAGAUCAUCAGCAGUUUAAGACAUCGAAACCUUGUUCAACUCAUUGGCUGGUGUCAUGAGAAAGAAGAGCUUUUACUAGUGUACGAGUUCAUGCCUAACGGUAGCCUCGACGCGCACAUAUUUGGUAAAAAAACAUAUCUCGCAUGGGCUGUUAGGUGCAAGAUAUCUCUCGGUGUAGCUUCCGCGUUGCUUUACCUUCACGAGGAAUGGGAGCAAUGCAUUGUCCACAGGGACAUCAAGGCGAGUAACAUAAUGUUGGACUCAAGUUUCAACGCCAAGCUAGGUGACUUCGGGUUGGCUCGGUUGAUGGACCACGAGGUAGGUCCCCAGACCACAGGACUAGCCGGGACAUUUGGUUACAUGGCUCCUGAAUACAUAAGCACAGGAAGGGCAAGCAAAGAAUCCGACGUGUAUAACUUUGGCAUUGUUUUAGUGGAGAUCGUUACAGGGAAGAAGUCGGUGAGCUUGAGGCAUGGAAAGAUUGAGCCAGAGUCAAGUCUUGUGGAGAAAGUAUGGGAUCUGUACGGUAGAGGAGAGCUGAUCUCAGCCGUUGAUCAACAGAUGGGGAAAGAUUACGAUGUGGAGCAAGCAGAGUGUCUUAUGAUUGUAGGGUUAUGGUGUGCUCAUCCUGAUAGUAACUCUAGACCUAGUAUAAAGCAAGCCAUCCAAGUCUUGAAUUUCGAGGCGCCCUUACCUAAUCUGCCACUAAAAAUGCCAGUUGCGACAUAUCAUGCGGCGGCAGAAACAUCGUCCUCAUCAAGCUCGAAUGGAGUAGCAACUGCAACGUUUUCUAGUGCUCAACUUGGUCGCUGAUCUGAACGUCAAAAGUUUUCUCUAUAAACACAGCCUUUAUGUAUUUUUUUUCUUUUGCUUCAUCUUUCAUGUGUUGUUUAAUGAUUCUCUGUGUGAGUGUGCAUGCAACUAAUCGUAAGUUUACGGUUAAAGUUGUAAUAUUGUUGUUUGCGUACGUCUCUCCUUGUCUCAAUAUAGUUGUUAUAAUCAUCUACAUCUUUGGUUUAUAAAUGCUUUCUGCUAAACAUGCUCCUGGGUUUCUGCCAAAACAUUUUAAAGACGCAUUCUUAUACAGUUUUCUUAUAGAUUCUCGUUUUUGACUGUGCUGCAGUAAUUUUGUUUCUUCCAUGUGAUUUCUGGUGUUGGAAGCUUAAAUUUUGCAGUUUUACUGGUAUUGUUAGUUUGGAUGAAUAAGUAUGGUCGUUCGUUUGGUUUCAUCAAUAAUUUGUUUUCCCACAUUGAUCCAUGUGAAGGUAUUUGUAUCAUACAAUACAAUGAGCAGGUUUAUUGGUAUCUCUCAAGAAGGGUUGUUAGCAUAAAUAAGAAUUAACAUAAAAGAAAAAAUGUGAUUAAAGCAGGAGGCGUCCCUUAAUUAGGAGCGUGAGGGCGUCUGUAUUGGGAGUCCCUUGAGGCAUCCCGGAAAAAGAGUGGGAACCGAGGAAGAAAGAGAAGGAAAAACCCUUAAUUAAGGGUUGUCCCUUACUCUUCAAUGAAAAAAAAAAAAAACAAAACAAAGGACUCUUUCUCCCUUACUCUUCAUCCCACCAAUAAAGAUGCUCUGAAGACACCGGUCUUAGCCGCCACGUGUCGCAUUACUACUGGGGAGAGGAACAGUGUCGACUCGACCGUGAAUUCUUUUUUUAUUUUUUUUCUUUCUCUCCUGCGAAAGGCGAUUCAAUGUCUCCUCCAUCGUCUUCUCCACUAUCAUCUCCUCUCUGUUUCGAGCUUCUCUUUGGUCAAACAACAGGUAAGCUCGUAUCUCUUCUCUAGAUCUAUAGUAAUACGAUGUGCGAAUCAACGAUUUGAUGUUCCUGUUGCAAAAUUUUCAAUCCAGAAUUGAAAUUUCAAUUUUUUUUUGGUUUCUUGAUUGAGAAAUCAGAAUGAUGAAGCUAUGUUGUGUUGUUGUUAUAUUGUCAAGAAACUGCAGUUUUACUCACUGUAUAGGACUGUGUACAACGAGAGGCGAGGUAAGAGCUGCUUGUUUGUGCUGUUUUGUCUUUGUGUAACAUCAUGUUCGAUCAAGAAAGGAUGAAACUUUUUGUUUAGCUCUUUGUUCCGGGUCGAUCUUGCUCCUGUUAUGCUAAAAUGUUUGUUUAAAAUGUACUUUGUUUCAAAGUUUGUAUAAAAUGUUCAAAAUUUGUUUAAAAAGGUUCAAAGUUUGUAUAAAUUGAUCUUGUUCAUGACAUACUGUUUCUGAUCUUGUAAUGCAGGUAUUGUAUUCAUCAGAGAGUGGAUCAUUGUGCUGCGGUUGGAGAGGUCACGAGAGUGGAGCUUUGUGAAAGGUGUGUGUUUCGAUCAGGUGAGACAGUGUUGUAGUCUUGUGUCUGUCUUGUAUUCACCAUUGUGCUGCUGUUGGAGAGGUCACGAGAGCUGUUGUUGUUGUCUUGUAGUCUUGCUGUUGUUGUAGUCUUGUAGUCUUGUGUCUGUCUUGUAUUCAGGAGAUAGAGGUCAGGUGUUGUAGUCUUGUGUCUGUAUGUAUUCACAAGAAAUGUUGCUGUUGUUGUAGUCUUGUGUCACGAGGUCAUGUAUUUGUUGUUGUUAUAUAUCUGAAACACACUCAGCUUUAUAUGUGUCACUUGUUAUAUACUUCACAAGAAUAAAUCACAAACACACUCAUCCUCUCUAUCUUUCAUCUCACGUUUUCUCUCCAUCCUCUCUAUCUUUCAUCUCAUGUUCUCUCCCUUCUGUUUCCAUAUCUGAAACAAUUUAUAUUUUAUAAACAAGAAUCUAAAACAAAUCUUGCAUGGUUUCCUCUUCUCAUCACAAUUUGGAUGGUUCAAUUGAUGAAACUUUUGAAUCAAACAUUUGAGAAUUUGUGCAAUGAUUUUUAUUGUUAAGAACUUUUAUUAAAAAACUACCAAUAAACCAAUAUUAUUAAGUGUCUUUUAACAAAGUCUCUUAUCUUAAUUUUAAUAGUUAAAAAUUCACUAAGGUCCACUUAAUAACCAAUUAAGGGUUUUACCAAUAAACAUGCUUUAACCCUAGAAACCCAUUAAAUUUCUUAAUGAUUAUUUAAGUAUUAAAUUUUAGCUAAGAACUUUAGUUUAGAGUCAUUAAAUUUUCUUGCUCCAAUAGGAGUUUCUUAGUCAAGGGUUUCUUAAAAAAAAAUUGUUUUUAAAGAUAAAAUAAGUAAAAAAUCUCACAUUCGACAUCUCUAGCAUUUGCCAGAGCCUUGCUAAAGGUAUUGUCAGAGGAACAUACAUGCUCUUUAGAUACUGAUUCUGAAGUAGCACUGUCAUCACUUUUAUCCGUCAAAGACUCAUCACUCAUGACAGGCUUGUGGUAAUUAGUGAGGAUAAGCAAAACAUGAAGGCUUCACUCUGCUAAUGGAUGUUUAGAUCCGUAACCGCCGUUAUUUACAAGAUAGUUCAAAGGCAAGAGCACAAAUGUCGCUGCAUAUUAAAAAAAAAAAAUCUCAUGAAUACAUGGAACCUUUCACAAAGCUAAGUCGGAUAAUAUAAAGUAUCUGAACAGCAAUAGAAAAGGGUUAACAUGUACGACAGUAACACAAUAUGUAACAAAAACACCUACCAGUUGCAGAACCAACUCUUUCCAAAAUGCCUGGUGAAUCUCCAUCAGAAUACAAAUAGCCUUUUGCAUUUGGAGGGGUACGGAAAAUAUAAUUAAGUAGCAAUCUUCUGACAGCAAGAAAAACUAGAGACUUCUCCUAUAAAUUGUGAAGCAAAAGAAAGAGCAAUAAUUGGUCGGGGGUAAAAUCUAUGCAAAAGAUGAAGAAAAAAAUUAAUGAAGAUGUAACCUGAGACAUUGUUGCAUCAAUAAAAGGGUUCGCCUCUCUUGGUCCAGGUGAUGGGCCGGAGAGAUGUUGUAUCGACAUUGCAACAAUCAUGAAGUUCAUAAGUUCCUAAUGUAGAACAUACGAGUUGGGACUUGCCAAAUAAAUGAUGAAAAUCAGGAGAAUGUGACACUUGAUACUCAAAUUGAUAAGUAUAUAUAAAAUAUACAAUAAGCAUGUCAUACGUACCUCACUUCAGUCGAUCCAAUGAAGCUCAGCAGACUAUGCAUGACAAAGUUCUGGAUGUUUUGGUCUGCCAAUAAUACACUCUCAAUAAGUCAACUCAAGCUAGGCUAAAGUUACCAAUAGCUAUUUGAGAGAAUCAAUACCCAUUACAAAGCCAUGAAGAACUGGCUUACUCUCGUCUAGAGAUAGAUGCAACUCCUCAAGGCUGUCACUUUUUCCAUUCUCAAUCAAAUGCUUUAAAAACACUUAUGCAAUAUACAUUGCAUUAACAGCUUUCUUAUAGAUAGAAGCCUGAUCAUCAUCAGAAGCUUGAAGAACCUCUUGCAAACACCACGAUAGAUGAAUCAACAGUUUCGCAAGGUGCCUAGUGUAUACAUUGUUUUGCGCUGCAAAAAAAACAAAAGCAUCUCUAAUGCUCUCGACAACACACAUCUUUCUAUUUCAGUAACCGUAGAUCAAAAACCCUAGAAUUAAACACAUUGUGCACGAGAAUGACUAACGGAAGAGCUCGCAGGCUUGGUGAACCCGAUCGCUAGGCCACCGAGAGCUCGACGGAAGCUCGAGCAGCUUGUUCCAGAAAUCAAACGCCAAGGGAAACGAUUUCUCCCCGACGAAAGUCGUAAUGAGAUAUUCCGCCACGGAAAACAUCAUCACCACCGCCGGUGUUUCGCGGCGUCGACGGCGCGCCUCCCAUGUCUCCUUCUCCUUAAGCCUUGCCGAGUCAACGAGGGCGUAGUAUGAGUCAGUUAUGGUGAAGAUCAAAAACAAUGCGAAGACGGAGGAGACGUCGAUGAAAUUCGAUCGAGUCGUCGUCAUCCGUCGUCUUGGAUCCUUCCUCUGACGGAGAACACUAGAAGACGAAAGAAAGAGAGUAAAAAAAAAUUAAAUGAGAUGUUGACACGUGACGCUUAAAAUCGGUCUCAAAAAUCCUAAGCUAAUGAUCAGUUAUCUUUCAUUUAUUUAGUUUUAAUUUAAUUAAAUCAAUAAUUUUGUUUAAAAACCCCACUAAAGAUCAGCGAUAAUCAAUCUUAGAUUUGUGAUAAAAGAGAUGUAGUUUAUGUUCAACCCCUUCAGUAAAACAUGACCCUAUAAAAUUGCAACUUGAGCUUUGUUGGUUUGACUUUUUGGUCUACAAUGAUAAGAAUUCAGUGAGCACUGUACUUGAGGAAAAAUACAUUUUUUGGACCCAAACAUUUUGUAUCGUGCAUUUUUAUAUCCAAACAAAUCAUAAAAUCAAAACCAUACAUGAACUUCAGUCCGUAGCAUAAAAACAUGUCUUGACUAACAUCUUGUUAGUCAACUGUUAUAUUGGAUUAAAAAAAUUACAUUUGAUGAGAAUCAAACCGUAGGGGAAAAUUGCCAAAUAUGACUCACAACUUGAUUUCAAACACAAAGGUUAACCCAAACAUGAAUCAAAUGCAAAAGUAACCUAAAAAGCUAUUGAAAUUACAACCAACCCCUUGUGAACAAACAAAAAAACCGAAUUUUUUUUUACAUUUUUAACCCUCGUAAGUCGUCUGCCCAGACGUCUUUCUGGAAAGUCGUCUGGACUAGUUUUACUUAGAAAUAAUUUAAAAUUUUGUAAAAAAUAUUUUGAUAAGUGAAAAAUUGAAAUCAUGUAAUUAACAUAUGUUUUAAGAGAUAUAAAUUAAGAUAUAACAAAAGUUAAUUGUUUUCAACAUAGAUGAGUGAAAGUAGUGAGUCAUGAUAUUCUUCGGUUUAGGUUUUGCCAACAUAUGUUGUAGUAUUGUAUGUGUUCUUAGGGUUAGAUUUUGGAAUGCAUAAAUGUUUUUUGGAAAACUUUAAAAUUUACCUAAGUGUUUUUAUUUUUGUGUAUAAUAAACACUAUUUAAGUAUAACUACGGGUUUAUAACGUGGUUAGUUAGUUAAUUUAGUCAAUUUAGUUUAGGGGUUAAAUUUAGGGUCUGGGACGACUUACUAGUAAGUCGUCCAAACCUUUAAUUUUACAAUGUACUUUUAAACCUAACCGGAUUAUUUACCGGCCAUAUAUAAGGUGUUUUUUUUUCACUGUUUAUCAAAAAUCAGAAGCUGUUUCUCUCAAAGGUGAUUUCAAAGGCGAUUUCGGUCGAUUCUCUCUAAUCCAUCGUUCUCAUCGUUCUCACCGCCGGUUAUCUCUCCGCCGUUAUCACCGUCGUUCUCACCACCGUUCUCACAGCCGCUUCCUCUAUUUAAGAUCCGAGAGGAAACCCUAGUGCGCAUUCUCUCAGAGGCAUCUCGUUGAACUCCGCCGCCGGUAAGUUAUAUCUUUUACUGUCGAGUGAUUGAUUGAGGAAAAGAUGAACAUAAAACUGGAAGUCUUGGAAGACUUAUAAUUAAGUCGUCUGGAAAGUCUUCCAGCUGGAAGAAUUUCCAGACGACUUAAUUAUAAGUCUUUCAGCUGGAAAACUUGUUAGAUGACUUAAUUAUAAGUCUUUGAUUGUUUGAGAUGGUUGUCUUUGAUUGUUUUGCAGGCAAAAAAAAUGGAGAUGCCAGAACUCCCCCGUAGGAUAUAUACAUUAGGGGAAGAGCCCCCCGCAGUGCAUAGCAUUUCGUAUCAUACUUGUUGGACGUUGCAUGCUGCUUUAAAGAAAGCUCUUCAUGAUGAUGAAUAUGAAGAGCUGAAGGAGUCGAAGUUGGGAGUUUUCAUCAAGUUCCAAGAGCUGGGAUUUGAUUGGGCUUCAAGGCUGGUUCACUACAUGCUCGGUUUCCAGCUGGACAUAAAGAAGAAGUAUGAGCUGUGGAGUCUUGUUGGUUCAGAACCUGUGAGGUUUUCACUGUUAGAGUUUGAACUCCUCACUGGUCUAAACUGCGAGUACAUCGAGGACCUUGAGAGACCUCACUCUGUUGUUACAAAGGAGUUGACUUCUUUUUGGGAGAUGCUGGUAGUACCUGUGAGGUUUUCACUGUUAGAGUUUGAACUCCUCACUGGUCUAAACUGCGAGUACAUCGAGGACCUUGAGAGACCUCACUCUGUUGUUACAAAGGAGUUGACUUCUUUUUGGGAGAUGCUGGUAGUUCAUGUCGAAGCUGGGCCAUCUACUCAGGAGAUAAUAGCAGCACUUGAGAGAUGCGAAGGGUGGUCUCAGGAUGAUCACAAGCGGCUCGCGUACCUUUCCAUCUUCACUGGAUACAUUGAAGGGAGAAAGUAUUCAACCCCUACACGGGUUAGUCUGGCAAGGCUAGUGAUGGAGCUAGAACGGUUUGAGAAUUAUCCAUGGGGGAGAGUCGCGUUUAAGAUGCUGAUGGACUCUGUGAAGGGCAUAGAUAUUUCGGGUUGGUACACUAUUAAUAAGUUUGUGCAAGCUCUCCAGGUCUGGGUGUACACAGCUCUUCCGGAAUUGGGUGCUACUUUUGGUAAUCCUCUCCCAAACAAUCUGUCUCCACCGAUACUGGCUUACAAGGGUCGUAAAGGACGCAUACAGUUUAAAGAGGCUAUCCUCAGUCAGGUAUUUACUUCAAUCUGGACGACUUCGCAGUAAACUUAUAAUUAAGUCGUCUGAUAAGUCUUCCAAUUAGACGACUUAGUAGAAGACUUAUAAUUAAGUCGUCUGGAAAGUCUUUCAGCUGGAUGACUAAGUAGAAGCCUUAUAAUUAAGUCGUCUGGGAAGACUAUCCAGACUACUUAAUUAUAAGUCUUCUACUAAGUCUUCCAGUUGGAAUACUUUCCAGACGACUUAAUUAUAAGUCGUCUACAAAGUCGUCCAGCUGGAAGACUUUCCAGACGACUUAAUUAUAAGUCGUCUGUGAAGUCUUUUCUUUCCAUCUUUCUUAAUCUGUCAAAUAUCUAAGUUCAUAUCUUCUAUUCACUGCAGACUAGGGUGAUCAACUUUGUUCAAAAGGACACUGGUGAAAUAUUUCCAAAAUGGGAGUUUGAUGUUGAGGACACGCUCUCGGAGAACAUAAUUAAACUCAUGUUUGUGAAGAAACCGUGGAAGUGGACCAUGGAUUGCUGGGAAGUCACCGGUACUUGGGUCAAUACAAAGCCGGUGGUUGUGAGUCCAGCGAAGAAAAAGGUAGUGAAGGAAGACAGUCCAAGACCUCGGAAGAAAGCUCGUAAAGAGGCACCUGUUGCAGCUGCAGAGGCUAGUGAAGAGGCAGGUUCAGAGGCUAGUGAAGAGGUGACUACGACUGUUGGUGGGUUGACCAAAGAGGAUAUUAAAACCAUUUUCAAGGACAUAGCUGAUGCCAUGAGGGAAGGGUUUGGGACGUGCCUUAAGGAGAUCAAGUAUCUGUCGGAAAGGGUGGAAGCUGUGGAGAAGAAAGUUGGUAUCACCACAAAACGGAAAGGGGCAUCAUCUAAAACACUACCUCUCCACCUAAACCGACGCUCGAACCCGGGGUUAGUAACAAAUCCUCUCCCAAAAAGAGAUUGACUAGACAAACUCUUAAGAAUAAGAAUUGAAAAGUUGCAUUUGCUUUGUUUCUUGUAUGUCAGAACAUGUGUGCUUUGUUUAUAGUGUAUGGAUUUUAUAUAUGUAUUUUGUUUCACGUUUGAAGACACUCAUUGGUUAUUAUUGUUUGAAAUGGAUCUUUGGUUAUUAUUGUAUAAACCCAUCUUGUAUAUUGCAGAGUGAAAGUGACAAUGGGACGAACGCGGGAAGGAAGAGCUUGGCGGAGGAUAAAGGUCCAGAUGUGCCCGCAGAUGUGCCUGCAGCUGUGCCCGCAGAUGCUAGUUCCUUGGAAGAUAAAGCUCCAGAACCGAGCCUUGUUCUAUUGGACAAAAAUCAAUCCACUGUUUCAGAUUUACAGAAGGAGGAUGCUAGAUAUCUAGAAAAGAGGGAUGCUGCUUUGGCACUUUGCCGUGCAAAGAGUGAUCGAACAAGGAAACUUGCUGCCUCACAAAAAUCUCCUUAUACGGCAAACAGCACGGCCAAAGUGAUCAUUUUAAACAGAAAGCUUUAUCCAGGCUAUAAUCCUUUUGCACCAAUUGACAAGAAUAAGUUGAAGGAGCUCGCUGAUUGGUUGAAAUCUUGUCCGUAAGUGUUUGCUUUUCCCAUAAUAGCCUGCUUUUCACAUAAUAGCUUGCUUUUCCCAUAAAACCUGAUUGUUUUUCAACAUUUUGUGUUUGCAGUCAUUAUAGAACAACUCUCGAUAAAAAACCACGUAAAGGUAGAACUUGGUGGUAUCAAAUCCUCCAAACCUCCCUAGAGUGGCUGGAGGACUUUGUAAGUCUUCUGCUAUGACGACUUAUCAGACGACUUAAUUCGUCUACGACUUACUUGUAAAUCGUCUGGUAAGUCGUCUACGUAGAAGACUUACCACUAAGUCGUCUGAUAUCUUCGGACUUGUACUUUAUUUUAUAUGCAGCAUAUUGAUGGUUGGAUUAAUGUGCUGAGUAAGAGGUACGACGCUAACCCACAACAUUUCAGGAGCGAGAGAAUGUGCUUCCUUGAUCAUCUCUUUGCUCAGCAAUGGAGAUUCAACUUCAAGGAUUUUAAGGACUCGAAGCCCAAUCACAACGGUUUAGGAAGAAGACUCCCUGGUGGGGCGUGGAAUUAUUAUGCAUGCAUUAUACCAUCAUUUUGCCAAUCGAACAAGGUUUAGGGGACGGAUAUUGAUGAUAUCUAUGUGCCAGUAAACUUCGCCGACAGUCAUUGGAUUGCUAUGUGGAUAUCGAUCCCUAAGAGGCACAUAGUUGUCUUUGACAGCAUUUGUUCUAGUAUCUUCCCAGAAGAACUCGAUGUGGUAAUGGAGCAUUUUCUCUACAUGGUCCCCUAUCUGCUUGUUGAGUGCGCUUCCUCAGAUGAACUACAUGCCCAAUACAGCCUGGAGCCAUUCACAUAUGAGAGACCGACCAAUAUACCUCCGGCCCGAGCUGGUGAUUGUGGCGUUUACACUCUAAAGUACAUUGAAUGUCAUGCUCUUGGGAUAGAGUUUAGUAAAAAAGACUUUGCUAAGCCCAACGGGAAGAGUAUGGGGGAUAAGAUGGCGGUAGAUAUAUUUUAAGAGCUUCCUGACGCGCAUGAGUUCGAAAACAAGGACAUGGAUGACAUCCUGAGUACGUAUGACGGGUGAUAAACAGGCCACUUUAUAUUAUUUUGUAUGACAGUUUAGGCUGAUGUGUGUAUUUGAACUUGAUCCCUAUUUUGUAUUUGAACUUGAUCCCUAUUUUGUAACUAUAUUCUGCGCAGAAGACUUACAGUUAAGUCGUCUGGAAUGUUGGACGACUUAACUAUAAGUAGUCUGGAAAGUCUUCUGAGCAGUGACCUUUUGUAACUAUAUUUCGGAUAAUAUAAAGGGCAAGAUCAUCUCAAAUUUGUUUGGUUGUGCAAUUUGACAAAGAAGUUGACACAGAUAAGUUCAUAACACAAAUUUUUAGUACAUAGACUGCACACUGGAUGACUAACUUGAAGGUCUUCUGGAAGAAAAAACCCUGGACGACUUAGUUGAAGGUCUUCUGGAAGAUUAAUCACUGGACGACUAACUUGAAUGUCUUCUGGAAGAAAAAACCCUGGACGACUUAGUUGAAGGUCUUCUGGAAGAUUAAUCACUGGACGACUAACUUGAAUGUCUUCUGGAAGAAAAAACCCUGGACGACUAACUGGACGACCUUCUGGACGACUUAAUUGAAGGUCUUCUGGAAGACUAAUCACUGGACGACUAACUUGAAGGUCUUCUGGAAGAAAAAACCCUAGACGACUAACUGGAAGACCUUCUGGACGACUUAAUGGAAAGUCUUCUGGAAGACUAAUCACUGGACGACUUACAUUGUGGUUUCGUAUGGCCAGUUUCCUUGCAUUUUGAGCAUCUAUAACCCUGUGUUGCUUCCGGGGUUUGCGUCCUCUCAUCCUGGAUAGCUCCAACCAAGAUUGCCAUCUUGAUUUCUUCUGUCUUCCCGGACCACGUUUUACUUCCGGAGGAAAGCAUGUGCGUUCCUCAACUUGUUGUCCAACACAAGGAUAUAUAUUCUCUGAGUAUCCUGCAAACAGAAAAUCCUUUGAGUACACUGGACAUACAAGUGUGGAGAUAUGCAAACCAACAGAUGUUCCAGCAGCUAUAACAUGAGAGCAAGGUAUUUUCUCCACUGCAUAGACACCACAAUCACACUUUCCAUGUUCCAAAUCAACCACACAGUCCAUUUUCCCACCUUUCACAAAGAAUCGCCAUCCAUCAAUUGGUUGUACCGUCAUCGUAUCCGCUAUCUCCGAUCGAACAACAAGCAAGUAUUCAACACCUCGACUAUGUUGAGUUGGGAGACUCAAAGCAUCUUCUCUCCUUUUCCAAAACCACUUUCCUAGCUUCUCCCUUAUGAACUCCAACAGGAACUGAACCGGAAAUCCUCUAGCUCGCUUCAGAGCGGAAUUAAUAGAUUCAGCGAUGUUGCUUGUUUUUAUGUUGUACCUGUCCCCCUGACAAUAAACCCUUGACCAUAGGCUGACGUCGGCAUUCUCCAAAUACGUUGCAAGAUCCGGGUUUGCACUCCGUAUCUCAGCCAUGUACCGGUCAAAAUCUGAAACCGUAUGAGCAUAAACAGCACCUUUCACCAAGUACAAGAGAAGUUUCCCUUUAUACUUUUUGACAAUGUUAUCUUGAAGGUGAUAAUAACAUAUUUCUCGUGUUGCCCAAGGAAACACCUUAUCACACGCACUUUUAAUGGCCGCGUGCCAGUUAUCUUGAAGGUGAUAAUAACAUAUUCCUCGUGUUGCCCAAGGAAACACCUUAUCACACGCACUUUUAAUGGCCGCGUGCCGGUCAGAGACUAUCACCAGAGGCUGCUCAUCAGAGACACAACUAGCCAAUUUUGUGAAAAACCAUUCCCAAGAAGGUUCAUCUUCAGCAUCUACGAUCCCAAAAGCCAAUGGAAAUAUCUGAAAAUUCCCAUCUUGUGCGGCUGCAACUAACAUAACACCUUCAUAUUUCCCACUUAGGUGAGUCCCAUCCACCACAAUGACCCUUUUCUGAUACUUAAAACCUUUGAUAGAAGCUCCAAAAGAGAGAAAUAAAUACUUAAAUCUAUUGAUAGAAUCAAGUUCUAUAGCCGUGAUAGAAUCGGGAUUUACUAAAGAGAUUUGCUCGAGAUAUGAUGGCAGACGCGAAUACCCAUCAUCUGUUGAUCCUCUCACCAAUGUUUGUGCAUAUAAAAGUGCUCUGUAUGAAGUGGUGUAAUCAAGCGUCAUGCCAAACAUGUUCUUCAUUGCAUCAGUGAUAUGCUGCGGAUUCAACCCAUCAAUGAUUCCAACACGAUCAAUGAAAAGCCUACCAACAUACUUCGGAGUACAGUGUCUCCGCUGAGCGAGUCGGUCUCCCGCUGAGCAUGUAUGUUUUUCCACAUACUUUGUUACCCAAAAUGUGUUUGACCCAUGUUUCACACUCGCUCUGACCUUCCAUUGACAACCACUAACCAGACAUGUUGUCACAAGGAGAGUUUUCGUUGACUUGUAUAUUCUGAAGGAGAACUUAAACCUCACUGCUGUCAACCGCAGCUCUGAAAGCAGUGCAUCCUUGCUAACAAAAAUCUGGUUGACAUAGAUAAUGUUACCAUUCGAUCUUCCUCCUUCAAUCUUUUCGAUAUCUUCAAAACACAUAUCAUCAUCUUCCUCAUCCUCAUCUUCAACCUUUCCAUAAACACUGUAAUCCUCACCAUUCUCGUCCGCUUCAGCAACAAUAGAGAUACCAGCAUCCUCCUCCACAUCGUCCUCCUCCCCAUCAUGAUUUUCAUCUUCAACCAAAUCAUCAUCAUCAUCAUCAAAACAUACAUCAGCUUCAUCAGCUUCAUCAUCUUCCCUGAACUCUGAAACCGUUUCCACCUUGCUACGGCUUGAUACACAAAGACGUACUCCAUGCGUUUUGGUUAUCUCGAGCAAGUUUCGAACUUGUCUAUCACUUGUAACAUGAAUAGGAGGGGUGUCUGGAGCCUGCAUCAUUUCUGCUGGUAAUGAGUAGGUUAUCUCCACAGAUUUUGUGCUCAUGUCCAGGUUAUAAUCUUCUUGAGCCAUUGCAAGAAGUUCACAUGUGUCGAACCUUCCCCCAAAAAAAUGAUUCUCACUCCUUGGACAUUAUCAACCACAAAAUCCCAACGGCAAUCAUUCAACAACCAUUCUCCAUACACUGCAUGUAACUGACGCAUCAUCUACAAAAAUUCAAAAUAAAACACAUUAGUAAACAUAGAGAAAAUGAAAGUUUACUAAACAUUGACGCAGACGACAUACCAGUCGUCUUACUUGACUUUCAAGUAAGUCGUCUUACUUGACGACUUCCGCGUAAGUCGUCUGAGAAAAGUUAAAUAUUUAAGUUUUAUUUUCCAAUUGCAAAAGUAACAUGAGACGACUUACAGAUAAGUCGUCCAGAUUUAAUAAAAUAUUGAAAAUUUUGUUUUCCCGGAGACGACUUACUGGUAAGUCGUCCAGGAAAAGUCAAAUAUCUGACACAAUUCGGUCAAAUGCAAAACUAACAUAUUUAUCCUAGACGACUUAUCAGUAAGUCGUAUAGGGUAUUCUCUAGAUUUUUUUUUAACAAACAAAGAUGACGACUUAAAAGUAAGUCAUCCGUUUGACCAGAAGACUUACCCGUAAGUCUUCUACAGCCAGACUACUUACGGGUAAGUCUUUUACACAAACAGAUCUGGAAAAAAUUUCAGUUUCAUACCUUAAACUAGUGAGAUGACUUCCUUAGCACACAUAGUCUUCUCCAACCACCCAGAAUCUCAAACGAAGUAACCCACCAAGAAUAGUAUGCUUGAAUGGCUCUAUAAACCAUAAAAAAAUUUGUAUCAAAAGCUUGAGUUUUUUGGAUGAAUAUGGAGGCAAAGUGAAAGAGAUGUUGUUUUUAGUUCAUAACAAGUGAGAAAGAGAGAGUGUAAAUCGAUUUUAGGUGCAUUAAGAGCUUCAAAUUGGUUGUUGAUGGUGGUUGGGGUAUUGAUGACAAUGGCAAUCUUGUAAUUACUUGAAGAUGAUGAGGGUGAGAGAGUAAAAAUGUCAUUUUCGGAAGAAAAAUUUUUUUAAAAAAUUUGAUGGCAUUUUCGUGAGUAUCAUGAACUUGUGGGGUGAAUAGAACAAAAGAAAAAUCCAAAAAAAACAUGGGUUAGUUUUAGGUUUGACUUUGAGUUUUGAGUCAAUCUUGCAAAAAGCCCCAAACCGUAGUCCCACACACACGAUACAUUAUUAAUUUUUUUAUUGUUUUCUUAUUAGAAAUAAAACAUUUAUAUUUUGAUUUGUAUAUUCUAAAGAAAAAAAUAUUUUUGUUUACAAAUUUUAUUUAGUACAAAUUAUAAUUGCACCAAUAAUCUAUAUAUUUCAAGUUUUUACGCUCUUACAAAUCUACAUAUAAUAGUGAAUAUAUUUAUCUUAAAAAUUAAAACUUAACUUUUUAAAUAAACAAGUGAAAUUUUCUAAGAUAGCAUUUUUAGUUUAUUUUCACAAAAAUAGCUCUCAAUGAAGAAAAUUGCUAAAAUAAUAUUUAUUAAAGGGUAAAAAUACAUUUUUAACUAAUCUAGACUUUGUGUUUAGAGUUAAGGUGUAGGGUUUUGGAGAAAUGGUUUCAAAUUUUUUAAAAAUAUAUAUAUAUUAAAAUUUCAAAAUAAAAAAGGCUAUUUUGUCAUUUUUUUCUUCAAGUGUUAUUUUAUAACAAAAACUUGAAAAUGACUGUCUAAGAGAAUUGUUCCAUAAACAAUGCACACCAAAUUAAAUAAUCACUAUGUGUUUUUCAAUCAUAUAUAUUUACUCCAGGUUUUGAAAAUACUAAUUAAGUUUUAUAUGUUAAAUUUGUAAUUGGUAAAUCAAUUAAAAAAUCAUAAGUUUACAGGUCAAAUUUGUAAGAAGUCUAAAACAUAUGGGGGGGAAUAUAUUAAAAAGAAGAAGAAGAUGAAGCGCGUCUGAAAAAAGCUACGUUUGGUUUUAAAUCAUUUUCUCCCCUUUGGAGGUGUUGCGAGAGCGUGCGUUAAUAUCGAUUCAAAACGAAGACUGCUCCGAUGGUGAGAUCUUCUCUCGACGCUUUUUCCAAGUCUUUUGGUGUUUGUCACAAGUAUUUUUUUUUUUUACGGGGAACGCGAAUUUUGUUAGGGUUUUUGGGUACUUCUUCGUGGAGAUUAUGCAUAAGUUGUUGGAAGUCGAAUUCAGUUGAUUACUAAUGAUUUCCACUUCUAGUCCUUUCUGCAGUAGAACGUGAAUUUUUGUUCUUGUUCUUGAUUGAAACUGAGUUCCUUUUAAUGAGAUUCAAUCUUUGUCUCAUGAAAGAAAGAAAGAAAAAAAAAACAUGUAAAAGUAUCAGCUUUUGGUUAUAUAGCCUUAAAGACUUUUGGAUUUGAUGAUUAUUAGCUAGGAUUUGAAUCCGUAAUGUUAUCUAGGAUGUGAUUCCAUAUACUUGUAGAUCAUUUUAGCUCAUAGCUUAUAAUUUUUCUUGGUAAAACUUCAUUGGAUUCUGCUACUUUUGCUCUCAUGUUUGCUUUUCGUGAAAAGGAAUCCUUUUUUCUUUCAGGGGUUCUUGAGCAUUGUUAGUCAUUGCUUUACUUUUGUUCUAACUUCACAAAUGAAUUAAAAGUAGGCCCAUCUCUUGUUUCAUCGCUCUUUGGCAUAUUAUGUAAGAAAAAUGAGUGUUGUUCUGUAUUGAAUGCAAAAGAAAGUACCCUUAGACACGACUUAGUUGAUUGGUUUUUAGUUGAUAUAUUAGUUUUCAGCAAAUCAUGGCACUAUGCAUCAUGUCAGCCCAAAGUUAUUUCUCCUUCGGAAGUUGAGAUUUUUUUUUUGCAAUUUUAUGAUUCUGACCCCUUUUACUUCUCUCUCUGUGUAGGCUGAUCCUGAACUAGAAGCUAUCAGGCAGAGGAGAAUGCAAGAGCUCAUGGCUCAACAUGGCACUGUAAUAUUCUGAAUAAUAACCUUCACUUAUGCUUCUUCUCUUUUUUUUCAAUUGAGAAAAAUUGCACUUUGUGUGGCUCAUUGAUUGUGAACCAACCUAAUUUGCAGGGGAAGCAGGGCAAUCAGCAGAAUCCAGAUCAAGAGAGAGCACAAGAAGAUGCUAAAAGGUCUGUUGUCUAUUACUUGAAAGCAAACUCUAUGUUGAGCUAACCUUCUUUUCUCUGAUUGGAACAUGGGUUCAGGGAAGCUGAUGAACGUAGACAAAUGAUGCUUAGUCAAAUACUGUCUUCCCAAGCCCGAGAGAGAAGUAAGUUACCACAUCUAAAUAUGCUUUCGACUUCAUCUAGUUCCUCUUGCUUUGUUUCUUUCUUCGUGACUGUCACUGAUAUGAUAAUCUUCCACGUUGUGGUAAUGUAUCAUUUUUCUAUAGUUGCUCGAAUUGCACUGGUGAAACCUGACAAGGCUAGAGGCGUAGAGGAUGUUAUUUUAAGAGCUGGUCAAAUGGGACAGAUUGUUGAGAAAGUAAGAAUCCACUUACCUUUCCUUGUGAUAGAGUUCAUAAUUCGUUUUAUAAAUGUCUACUCAGUUUCGCUGACACUUCACGAAUGUUACGCAUCUGAUAGUUAUUGCAAUACUCUUGUUUGUUUUUAACAGGUUUCUGAGGAGCGGCUCAUAACCCUCUUGGAACAAAUAAACAGCCAAACUAGCAAGCAGACCAAAGUCACGGUACGGUCACACAAUCCUCCAAAAACACAAGUUAUCAAAGCAAAAAGCUUUGCUCUUAGUUUAACGAUAUCAUCGAGUGUAAGUUUAUCUUGGAUGUGUUUACUGUUUACAGAUCCAGAGACGUCGUGGGGUGGACGACGAUUAGGAAGAAGAAGAUUAUGCUGUGCUUUUGUAUAUCUAUGGAGAUCUCACUGUUGAGUUGGUGAGUUCUAGUUAGAUGUUACCGUGAAAUAUGUUUAUUCUGAGUGAAUCUUAAUGAUCUUCCAAAUGGUUGGGAUGUGAUAAAGAGUAAUCUCAAACUGAAACUCUGCAUUUUAUAUUUUGGACAUUUCAUUUGACUCUAACCCGACUCUUUUUUUAUAAAAAAAAAAAUUGCUUCUAUUCUGACUAAUUUUAUCUGAGUUCUUCAUGAAGAAUUAAUCAAUUUAUUGAUACAAAAUAAAUAAUUCAACUUCUGUCGGCCGUGAAGUACUGAAGCGACUAUCAUUUUCAUGUCACAAGAAUCAAAGGUCAACCGAAAUACUAAAGCAAGCAUUUGACAAAUAAGUGACGCCAUAUGGUUCAACUUUAUCGUUACUUUAUGAUCAAAAGUAUGAUUUCUGAUUAUUUUUAAAGCAUUCAUUUGUCAAAUAAGUGACGCCAUAGACCACAUUUCUAACAAACAAGCAUUAUCCAUACGUUUCCUAACGAUUUCUUUAUAACCUUCCCAAAACUAUGUAAUUACCAAGAAUAAAAUGGUCCUAGUCAGUUUUUACACUCAAAGUUAGUUGUUACUUCUUACAAAUACAAUUAAAGAGAAAGGGGACACUGGGCAGUCAGUGUAUCCGUUUUUAUCCACUCGCCAACAGAAGAUCAUUUGUAAAGUGGCUCAACUCAGCAAACUCAGCAGGAGCAGUGAAUACGUCUCAUGUGUUGCUUCUGUUGGUUUGUUAUCCGUUUUUAGUUUUGAGCAAAAAAGUUAUCUAAAUUAUAAUAAACGAAAUCUUUUGUAUUAUAAUGAAUUAAACAAAAGUAGUAUACUUAUGUAAAUAUUUUAGAGUUUUUUACUUUAUACAGUUGAUGUGGAUAAAAAGUUUCUCUUUUAUUCUUAAUGUUAUUUUAUAUCGAUUUAAAACAUAUAAUUAUCUAUAAAAUAUAAAAAAAAUAGCUUGGACUUCUAACUAACUAAGCUUGUCUCAAAUUCACGUGCAAAAUUUAAGUAGCUAAAAUAAAUAUAUAAUUAUCAAGUAAUUUACAAAUAAGUAUCAAGUAAUUUAUAAAUAGUUCACACAUAACAUAUAUAGUAAACCGUUGUAAAUAACUUGUAAAUACGUCAAUUUCCAGCAAAUACUUAAAACUUGUAUAACAAACCAAAUACAAAUUUAAAUGGCAAAUUGUCAAAAAUACCAUUUUCAAAGUACCAUUUUUUACGUUUACACUAACCACUUUUACCCUCAUUUUUAAUGAAGGGUAAAAGACAUUUAUAACCUUUUGAUUAACUUUGACAAAAAAAUAACUAAUCUAAAUUUAAAACAUCAACUCUAAACCCUAAAUCAUCAACUCUAAACCAUGAAACAUCAACUCUAAACCCUAAACUCCGAAACAUCAACUCUAAACCCUAAACCCUAAACCUUCAAAUCAAAAACCCUAAAACAUCAACUAUAAACCCUAAACGUAAACCUUAAACCCUAAAUCUAAACUUAAAACAUCAAAUUUAAACCCUAAAUCAUCAACUCUAAACCCUAAACAAUGAAACAUCAACUCUAAACCCUAAACCCUAAACCUUCAAAUAUAAACCCUAAAACAUCAAUUCUAAACCCUAAACAUAAACCCUAAACCCUAAACCUACAAAUCUAAACUCUAAAACAUCAACUCUAGGGUUUUAGGGUUUAGAGUUGAUGUUUUAUGGUUUAGGGUUAAUUUUUUAGGGUUUAGAGUUUACUUUUUAGGGUUUAGGGUUUAGUGUUGAUGGUUUAGAGUUUAGAGAUGAAGUUUAUGGCUUAGGGUUUAGAGUUGAUGUUUUAGGGUUUAGAGUUGAAGGUUUAGGGUUUAGAGUUGAUGUUUCGGGGUUUAGGGUUUAGAGUUGAUGUUUCAGGGUUUAGGGUUCGUAUUUAAAAAAAAAAUAGGGUUUAGGAUUGAUGGUUUAGGGUUUAGGGUUCGUAUUUCGAAAAAAAUAGGGUUUAGGAUUUACGGUUUAGGAUUUACGGUUUAGUUUUAGGGUUUAGGGUUCGAAUUUCUAAAUAGUAUAAUUUGAAAAAAAAUUAUUUUUUAUUUUGUUAGAGUUUUAUUUAUUUAAAUAUUUAUUUAUUAUAUAUAUAAAGAACAAAGAUAUAAAAGUUUUUUCCCACUUUAGUGAAGAAAAUAUUUUUGAAAAUAUCUUUUUAGUGGUGAUAAAAAUGAAAAGUGGUAGUAUAAAAAUGAUAAACAUGUAAUUUUCCGGGUUUAAAUUUACAUUACUCGAACAACACAAGUCGAGUACUAAAUAUACCAAAAGAUGCAAUUAGUGCCCACAUCAGACCUUACCCAUCACUCGCGUAAAUCGGAAGCUGGACUAUGCAGUUAAAAAUGAUGCAAUUAUACAAUGAUAAAGUGGAUAUGUGAAAGAGAGAGAAAAAAAGACAAUUAAACAACAUUUUAAGCAAAGUCUUUUGCGAUCCGUACAAUAAUCUCUUAUUAAAAUGAUAAAACGCAAAGAAUUUUUCUUCAUUAGAAAAUGGUAAUAGAAAAUGUCAUUAGUGGAGUGGAUUGAACUUUAAAAUCUCGAUUUCAACUUAGGCUAAAACGUUGACCUUUGACUUUUUAAAUUUCAGUCAUAGAUAUUAACUAAAUAUUAAAAUUAAUAUCUCCAAUAUUGUCGUUCAUCAAUUAACGCACCAAACACAAUACCUGCCCAUAUAGACAAAAUAAUAAAUUAAAAGAAAAAAUCAUUCAUAAUCAUAACUUUAGUGUCACACUCAACUAAUUAGAAUUGACAUGAGUAGUUCAGUCAGACUUUCAUGUUUUGUUAUUUAAUCUAAACUAUAUAGUUUUGAGUUUGAAUACAGACUUUACAAGUUAUACGUUAUUUGUGAAAAUAAAGUAUUAUUCACCGUAUUUAUAUAUUAGUAUUGUAACCAAUAGCAUGAGUACAAAGUAAGCAAGUAACUGAAAUAAAAAUGUAUAUAUGGUAAGUGGUAACUAAUCGGUCCAUUUUUUGACCGAUUCACAUGUUUGUCACUACAGAACUAGUAUGAGCUCUUAUAGAAUUUAGUUUUUCUUUUAAUUGUAAAAGGGAAUAUUAUAAAAUUUACUUACAGACCAAAAUCCAAAAAUAGCCACUAAAAUAUAGGUUUAAAUUAUACACGAGAAAUUAUAAUUUAUAAGAAAGCAAAUUAUGAUUUAUAUUAACCAGUUUGUCCCAUUAUUUUGGUAGUGGCGACACUGGACUUGAAAAGACUAUUUAAAGACUGAUUUACAUAUGCUACUAUUUUUAUCAAAUUAAAAAAAAAAUUAUAUAUGCUACUGUGGAACAUUUGAACUAGCAAAUAAAAAGUUGGUAUGUAAAUGUUAAAGAAAAAGUAACAAAUGCGCAUCAUUUGGCUUCUACAAGUGUCUCCGCGCUUGACCUAUCAACUAAUCUUGUAUUAUUAUUAUCUCUUAUGUCUACUUAAAUUCUACAAUAAAUUAUUUACUAGAUUCUGACCCGCCCUAAGGGCGGGUAUAUUUUUAUUUUAUUUUAUUUUUAAUUUUAAUUUUAUAUGUUUUUGUUGUUUUAAUCAUAUUUGUGUUAAAUGUUACUUUAAUAUAAUUUUUGAUAACUAUAUUACAUAUGUCAAAUUGCAUAACUGUGCAUUUGUGAGAUAUAUACAUCAGAUGUUUUACAUGUAUAUAUAAUAUAAUUAAUAAAUUUAAUAAUUAAAAGAUAUACACAUUAUAAAAUAGUUUUGAAUCUAUCAAUACGUAAGCAUGAAUAUAAUCGAAUAUAGGAGCUACAUAAGGAGCUAAAUAACUGAGAAAUUGAAAAUUUUCUAAAGAUAAAAUUGUAGUUCAAAUAAAAAAAGCAUUAUAAGCAUCUUCAAAGGUAGGAUACAAAACUCCAUUAACAGUUCGUAUAUCUGUGUAGCUGGUUGAUACUUUGUUCUUGUUUAAAAGAAAACUCAGAUAAAACAAUUCGCUUGUGUUGGAGUUAUUUUCAUGGUUAAUCAUUGUUUUCUCUUUGUUCUUACUAUUAACUUCCAUCCAAUCUUGAUAUUGCGAAGUUUGAUUUGCCUUUGUUGAAACAUCACCUAAAUCAUCAGCUUCAUGUGUAGCUUCUAUGUCAUCUUUUUCAUAUUUUUUUCUCUUCAUCUAUAGCAAAUAUGAUUAACAUAAAGUUAUAAAUUAUAAUGGACAAAAACACAUAAGAAACUUUGAAAUCCAAAUCAAUAUUAUUAAUACUUAGAAAAUGUAAUAAUGAUUAAAGUGCACAUGGGUAACUUUCUAUUAUCUACAAAAUAGACACACAUAUCAUAUAUAUAUCACCGUCUUAAAAAAUCAUUUAUAUACAUGAGAUAGGUAGUAAAUGUUUUGUCUAUAAUAUUUAUUACUUUAAAACACAUUUAAGAUAACAUUAUAAGUUAGAGUUAUUAUUUUCAAUGUCUUGAUGAUGUUUGAUAUUCUUUACAGGAUUGUAUUAUUAUGUAUAACAGUUUAAUUCAGAUUGGAGGUAGAAAAACUAUCACCUUGGAAGAUAAUUGAAGAAAAAAAUUUCACUUUCUCGCUAACAAUUUGAAAAUCUGACCUUUGAAUACUGGUAGAUAUUGAUGAUUGAAGACGAAUGAAUUGAAGAGAUUUUCAAUGUUAGGGUAUUAAAUGGUUUUACAAAUAACUGAGAAAAUAGUAGAUUAAUUUAUAGGAGAUGAAGAAAAUAAGUAAAUAUUUAAAUCAAUGUAGCUUAAAACUUGAAUGAGAAAAAUUAGGAAAUUGUUAGUUUAUAUUUAGACUCCAGAAAAAAGGAUAUAGCAAAGAAAACUUCAAAACCAACUAAUUUUUCAUAAUAAUCUGUCCAUAUAAUUUUUUAAUAAAAACAUUUGGGGUAUUUUGUUUUUAUUGUUUUUUUGUCACAGAAAAGGUUGUAGUUUAUAUUUUUACAUGGAAAUUGAUUUGUAUAUUUGUGUUUGGAAAGUUUAAACAAUAGUAAUAGCAUUGUUUAAACUAUAAU